This 460-nucleotide ribosomal RNA is filed under the name uncultured bacterium. Its description in RNAcentral is "partial 16S ribosomal RNA". It matches the Rfam family "Bacterial small subunit ribosomal RNA", at positions 338 to 795 of the family's 1533-position model. The record is from RNAcentral.
CCUACGGGAGGCAGCAGUGAGGAAUAUUGGUCAAUGGACGAGAGUCUGAACCAGCCAAGUAGCGUGAAGGAUGACUGCCCUAUGGGUUGUAAACUUCUUUUAUAUGGGAAUAAAAUGUUCCACGUGUGGGAUUUUGUAUGUACCAUAUGAAUAAGGCUCGGCGAACUCCGUGCCAGCAGCCGCGGUAAUACGGAGGAUCCGAGCGUUAUCCGGAUUUAUUGGGUUUAAAGGGAGCGUAGGAGGAUUGUUAAGUCAGGUGUGAAAGUUUGGGGUGCAACCGUAAAAUUGCAGUUGAAACUGGCAGUCUGGAGUACAGUAGAGGUGAGCGGAAUUCGUGGUGUAGCGGUGAAAUGCUUAGAUAUCACGAAGAACUCCGAUUGCGAAGGCAGCUCACUGGACUGCAACUGACACUGAGGCUCGAAAGUGUGGGUAUCAAACAGGAUUAGAUACCCGGGUAGUC